GCGGGCUCUGCCCGCUCGCCUGCUCGCCUGGUGGGGGAGAGGGGAGCGGGGCCGACACAGGACUGCAGUUGACAGCAGAUAACUGAAAGCUCGGAAAGCGAAACCGUGGAUAAGCAGGGGAACUGUGGCAUCCCAUUUAAAAUUGCUUCUGAAGAGAAGCAUGAGGUUACAUCUGUAAUCUCCCUGCAGCAGAGUCAACUGCAUAAGAAACCAAAAGACACACCUGCUCCAUGCCAGGUCUGUUCUGAAAAAUUGAGAAGAUGAUCUAUCUUCACUUCAAAAAGAAAUCUCUAAGGAGCAAGUGGACACAGCCUGCCUCCCAUAAGCUGUCUGGCUCACUCAUUUUAUUCCUGGAAAUCAGAAGUCAAUCAUUUCCUGAGAAAUGAGGAAAAAGAUGGAGGUCACAGAGACCAGUAAGAGCAAGGAGGGAGAGGAAAAAGCUGAACAUGAAACUCGAGGAAGAAACAGAAUAUGCAGAGGAAUAAAAAAAGCUGACGGAAAACUCAACAAGUGGGGACCUCCCCUGAAAUGAUAGGAAAGAAUUUAACCUCAUGGCAUAAAAACAACUCAUGAAUGGUGUUUGGAUGAAAAGGUUAUGCGGGAGUCAAAUGUUUGAAGGGGCUCAGGUACUUACUAAAAUCCUGGCCAGAAAUCUUCAUAGAAAUGUACUCAUGGUGAAGAGUUCCUUCUCACCUGCAAACCCCCUUCUACUCUGCUCAUUCAAAACUGGUUUGCAACUUGAAGCUGUGAAGGUCUUGCUACUCAAAGUGUGGUCCCUGGACAUGCUCACUGUUAGAAAUGCAGAUUCUCAGGCCCCACCCUAGACCUGAUGAGUUAGAAGCUAACCUCUGCGAACAUGGACAUUUGAGAAGCACUGCUCCAUGUCACUGAGCCCUCCCUGGAGGAAACAUGAUAUUCACCCCACGAAGACCACCUUCCUCAUGAUGCCCUCUGCCCUCCAGAAAAAUAACAUAUACACUGCCCAUGUUAUUUGAGAGAUAUUUCCUGUGUGAGUAUACACUUUUCUGGAACUGAAGACCUGUCUAUUCACACGGCCCUUAUCUGAGCAGACUUUGGGACAAGCAUUGGGGUGCAAUUAGUUUGUAUGGGCAGUGAUCUCAGGGAGCUCCAGGAGAGGGUAGUGAAGUGUGUCAUCAACGGGUGAGAAAGCUGGGGCAUCUAUCCAUCUCACCGGUCUCUCCUUGGUAGAAAACUGUACUGGGGACGUUAACUAUCCUGCACUUCCAGCCCUCCUGACUCGGGUGCAGCACACUCCUGUAGCCAGAGAAAGUUCCUAACCAGAGAAACAGUUCGCCUAUGGCGAACUGUCAUAGGCGGCCUCCAGGGUGGGUGGAGGGGACAUGGAGGGUGUUGACAGCAUCUCUCCCACAUCCUCUCCCUCUGCACAAGCAACUGGGCUGGUGGAGCUGUGGACUGAGAACAGAGGCCAGGGGCAGCUACUGCUGAACUUCCUUUGGCUGAAGAUGAAGGGAUGGGGCCUGAGAGGACCUCUUCCUAGUCUAGCACCUUCAGAGUGUAUCUCCACAGAUCAACCUGUCAGCUCAUGGAGCCCUGUCUCAGGGGGCAGCAGCUUACUAAUCUCUUCCCUCGGGUUGGCACAUCCACUUUGCUACUCCUGGGUACAUCUCAGGACUCUUCUUAAAGAACUGGUAUCCACUUCUAGGAUGAUCCUUCCUCCCUUUCUCUUUGUUGCUUCAACAGGUCAGCUCCAAUCUCCUCUUACCUAGACCAGCACAAAACGGCCUCCUGGUGGAUGCCUUGCACACACCUCUCUCCCCUGAUAUGUUCUGCAAACUGCCACAGAUGAAUCCCAAUAUGACACUUUGUUUUUGCUAAAAAGCCUUCAAAGGUUGUUAACAAGCAACAUUCUUCAUUGGUUCUUAACUGGGGGUGUGCACUGGAACCACCUGGGAGCCAGAGAUGCCACACCCAGCUGUGCAGGCUGAUCACUGCAUAGAAGACCUGGCUGCUCUCACCAAGCCCUUCACCUUGGCAUGAGUCUCUCCAAUUUGCAUAACAGUGCUGGAAAGGUGACGAUGACAAUCCUAUGAAAAGCUUUGUAAAAAAGACCCAGAUGCAGGCCCCUCUGUGUGGCCGCAGAAUCAAUGCAUGUGGCGUCGGCAUGCAUUUGCUGAAAGCUCCCCAGGUGGUUCUGAUGGACAAUCAAGUUAAAAACCCUCAAAAGUGAAACUGCAUUGAAAUUCUCUGGUGGGCUUGUUAAAGAUGCAGAUUGCAGGCCCCAGCCUCCAGAGUGGGAUUCUUUACAGCAGAAGCAGAGUCAGGAAACCUGGAUCUUGAAUCAUCUGAGGCAAGUGUUCUACACUAGCCUUUGAAACACUGGUCCCAAGAGCUAAUGUAGCCACUGCCAUUUUUGAAGUUAAGAGAUUGAGACCUAGAGUAUGUGAGAAAAAAAAUGCCUUCUCUGGGAUUCUUAUGCUGGUGAGGACUGAGGAACCCUGGUAUUAUGGUCCUCUCUGUCUUUGAGUCAGUUGUCUGGAGCCUCCUAUGUCAUGUGCCUCUGGGGCAGGGACUCAGAGAAAUGAACUCUGCAGACCAUGGCUGGCUCCAACAUGGGUGCCUACCUGCUGUGCUCCCAGAGGAAGCCCAUCUACUCGUUCAACAAGUGUUUCUUAUUUUGUCUCAAAUGGGAAACAGCUUCUACACAAUAAUUCUCAUGUGUGAGACACGUAUGUUUUCUGUUACAUCUUACAUUCCUUUGUUCAUGCUCUCAUUUAAUAAUUACUGAGUAGCCUCAGUGUCCUUUGUUGGGCCAUAUGCCUUUGUAACACAGUUCCUGCUGUCUCCAAGGAGAAGUUCCCAGCCUAGGAGGAAGAAGAAGAACUGGUUCAAGGAAAGACACUUAUCAUCUCACAUGAUGAAUGCAUGGGGGUGCUGUUGCACCAGGGGCUGAAACUGGCCUCCCUUUACCAGAGAAGCAUUGGCUGUCCCCAUUCCCACCCCACAGGUCGUAUUUUACAGCUCAUUGUUAUUACCAUUGUUUUACCUUUCAACUAACUAAAA
Molecule: unclassified non-coding RNA, 3042 nt
Filed under: Homo sapiens (human)
Lineage: Eukaryota; Metazoa; Chordata; Mammalia; Primates; Hominidae
Description: ITGA9 antisense RNA 1 (ENSG00000291496.1)
Source: RNAcentral